RNAcentral lists this ribosomal RNA (631 nucleotides) under uncultured Bacteroidales bacterium. RNAcentral describes it as "bacterial SSU rRNA". It matches the Rfam family "Bacterial small subunit ribosomal RNA", at positions 108 to 737 of the family's 1533-position model. Lineage: Bacteria; Pseudomonadati; Bacteroidota; Bacteroidia; Bacteroidales. The record is from RNAcentral.
GAGUAACACGUAUCCAACCUGCCGUCUACUCUUGGACAGCCUUCUGAAAGGAAGAUUAAUACAAGAUGGCAUCAUGAGUCCGCAUGUUCACAUGAUUAAAGGUAUUCCGGUAGACGGUGGGGAUGCGUUCCAUUAGAUAGUGGGCGGGGUAACGGCCCACCUAGUCUUCGAUGGAUAGGGGUUCUGAGAGGAAGGUCCCCCACAUUGGAACUGAGACACGGUCCAAACUCCUACGGGAGGCAGCAGUGAGGAAUAUUGGUCAAUGGGCGAGAGCCUGAACCAGCCAAGUAGCGUGAAGGAUGACUGCCCUAUGGGUUGUAAACUUCUUUUAUAAAGGAAUAAAGUCGGGUAUGGAUACCCGUUUGCAUGUACUUUAUGAAUAAGGAUCGGCUAACUCCGUGCCAGCAGCCGCGGUAAUACGGAGGAUCCGAGCGUUAUCCGGAUUUAUUGGGUUUAAAGGGAGCGUAGAUGGAUGUUUAAGUCAGUUGUGAAAGUUUGCGGCUCAACCGUAAAAUUGCAGUUGAUACUGGAUAUCUUGAGUGCAGUUGAGGCAGGCGGAAUUCGUGGUGUAGCGGUGAAAUGCUUAGAUAUCACGAAGAACUCCGAUUGCGAAGGCAGCCUGCUAAGCUGC